Molecule: long non-coding RNA, 90 nt
Organism: Stegastes partitus (bicolor damselfish)
Lineage: Eukaryota; Metazoa; Chordata; Actinopteri; Pomacentridae
Exons: 3
Source: RefSeq, a predicted model, not a curated record
UUAUGAGUAUGACAGCAAAGAAGAUGAUCCCCCAGUGGUAAUCCAUCCUCGUCUUUAUUCCAUUUGUGUCAGUCUCAGGAUGCAAGAACA